CCAGAGAACUUAGCAGAGAUGCUUUGGUGCCUUCGGGAACUCUGAGACAGGUGCUGCAUGGCUGUCGUCAGCUCGUGUUGUGAAAUGUUGGGUUAAGUCCCGCAACGAGCGCAACCCUUAUCCUUUGUUGCCAGCGGUUCGGCCGGGAACUCAAAGGAGACUGCCGGUGAUAAACCGGAGGAAGGUGGGGAUGACGUCAAGUCAUCAUGGCCCUUACGGCCAGGGCUACACACGUGCUACAAUGGCGCAUACAAAGAGAAGCGACCUCGCGAGAGCAAGCGGACCUCAUAAAGUGCGUCGUAGUCCGGAUUGGAGUCUGCAACUCGACUCCAUGAAGUCGGAAUCGCUAGUAAUCGUAGAUCAGAAUGCUACGGUGAAUGCGUUCCCGGGCCUUGUACACACCACCCGUCACACCAUGGGAGUGGGUUGCAAAAGAAGUAGGUAGCUUAACCUUCGGGAGGGCGCUUACCACUUUGUGAUUCAUGACUGGGGUGAAGUCGUAACAAGGUAGGCGUAGCGAG
This 521-nucleotide ribosomal RNA is filed under the name uncultured bacterium. Its description in RNAcentral is "bacterial SSU rRNA". It matches the Rfam family "Bacterial small subunit ribosomal RNA", at positions 988 to 1509 of the family's 1533-position model. The record is from RNAcentral.